RNAcentral lists this small RNA (107 nucleotides) under Marmota monax (woodchuck). Lineage: Eukaryota; Metazoa; Chordata; Mammalia; Rodentia; Sciuridae. The record is from RNAcentral.
GCUGAGUAUGGUGGUUCACACCUGUAAUCCCAGUGACUCAGGAGGCUGAGACAGGAGGAUUCCAAGUUCAAGACCAGCCUGGGCAACUUAGUGAGAUCCUGUCUCAA